GACCACUCCUCUAGCAUGUGAAGUUCUCAGGCCAGGGAUAAAAUCUGUGCCACAGCAGUGACCCAAGCCAUAGCAAUGACAGUACCAGAUCUUAACUGCUAGGCCACCAGGGAAUCCUCAAGCUUUUGUUUCUUUAUACAGAAUAAGAGUACUCCACCAGUAUCUAAAGCAUUGUUCAUUAGCUAGUAUAUAUACAGUGCUUAUCACUGUAUAAGGUACAUAGUAACUGAUAAGUAAAUACCAACUAUGAUUAUUAAUAAAAUGAACAGUCUUUUAAUCUACUUUUUUUUUUAAAAAAAAGCAAAUCUAAUUUCUUGCUCUUUUUUAAAGAUUUAAAUGAGAAUAAUUGAUCAUGAUUAGGUUGCUACCCAUAUAACCCCAUAUAAUUAUGUUAUUGAAUACUUUUCAAGUUAUGAGAAACAUAAAAAUGUUCUUGUAUUUCUACAUUACUUAUCAUACUUGGGAAAACUUGCCAUAAAUAUUCUUCAGGAUUUUUAAGAUAUGUGUAGGCUUAUUUUUAACAUAGGAUUGGGAAAUUUUUAACCUCUUAAAAAUUUGCAAACUCUUAUGAAAGAGUGCUCAAUGUCACUUGUGAAUGCAUUCCAAAUUGCUUUGGAAAGAAAAGUGAUCACAGCUUGAUGUAAUACUGGCCUCUUUAUGACAAUUAUUCUCUAAGACCAAAUCAUUUGAAAGUGCUCUAAGUCCAAACCCUUGUUACAAAGGGGCUUUCAUGAAAAUUGUGUCUAAGAAUGUCAAAAUCCAGUAUACUUUCCAUUAAGCAUACUUAAUCAAGUAUUUAAACACUCUACUUCUGCCUACUUCCCACUCACAUGGAUGAGCAAAGGCUUCCAUGGAUGUAAUAAUCUACGUUGGACACAUACCGACUUUUAGACUCUAGGUUUAUUUUCCAAACAUUAAUAGAAGAUGAAUAACAGUACAUCAUCCACAAAAAGCAAAACACCUACACAAUGUUGAGGGAACAUUUUGGUUUGCCGAGCUAACAAAUGUUUCAGUUCUGAAGGCAAAGACUAUUUUGCUUAAACAAAUAACAAAGUAUCACAACUUUUAAAAAAUCAUAAAAUUACCAUAAAUUUGUCUACAAUGCUAUCUAAACAUCUUUAAAGGUGUUACUUCUUAUUUUGAAAAUUUUAAGUACUAUAACUAACAAUUUCAAAAUAUGUUGGUUUCUACUAUUUUCAAUCCCACAGUUACCUAAACGUACAGAUAGUAUCAUUUGCCCAGCUUUUGCCUCUUUCAUAGUAAGAAAAGGAAAAAAUUAAAUCAAGGGAACUCCAAGGAAUUUUAUUACACUACAAAGAUAAUAUCAGUUAAAAUUUACAAGUCAAAGUAAAACCAUUCUGACUUUCCAUUAAUACAUAUUUUUUUCAGAAAUUUAAAACUCUGACCAAAGUUUAGCAAUUAGCCAAGCUAUUAGCUUACAAAUGCUUUGAUGCAUCACCAUUGUUUUGUUUUGGGUGGGUUUUUUUGUUUUUUGUUUGUUUGUUUGUUUGUUUGUUUGUUUUGGCUUUUUUGCCUUUUUAUAGGGCCACUCCCAUGGCAUAUGGAGAUUACCAGGCUAGGGGUCUAAUCGGAGCUGUAGCCGCCAGCCUACACCAGAGCCACAGCAACUCGGGAUCCAAGCCCGCAUCUGCGAACUACACCACAGCUCACGGCAAUGCCAGAUCCUUAGCCCACUGAGCAAGGCCAGGAAUCGAACCCGCAACCUCAUGGUUCAUAGUCAGAUUUGUUAACCACUGAGCCACGACGGGAACUCCCAUCACAAUUGUUUUUAAGUACGACCAGGGCACAAAAACUGUAGAUCUGUGAUGGUCAUACUUUUAAGUGAUGCUAUUUGAGGAUAGAUAAUAAGUAAUAAAGGAAAUGGGUUAAAGAUGCGCUAUUUUUAGUUAUUCUUUUGUGGACAGAAAGAAGCAAGUAGUUUAUUAAGAGAAUACCUAAGCUGAAUAGAACCCAGAUUGUUGAAAAUGAAACAAUUAAAUUAUGCAAAAACUAUGAGGACAGACUGUCAAAAAAAUUCUGCACUUGGUAUUACAAAACAUUUGACUGGGUUAAAUGAAGUUAACACAACCUGCCAUACAAGACUGGUCACGAACUUUUCUUAUUGUAACCUAAUUAUGAUAUUGCACAGGGAGCUAUAUUACAAGCAAUCUUCAGUUGUGACAUAACUUAAACUAUUAAUCUAUGACAAAAAAAUAUGCUCCCAAUCACACAAAAUAAAGGUCUUACUACAUUCAGUUAGCAAAAAUGGAAAGUUUACUUAGUUCAAAAUAUGCCCUUAUUCAAUUCUGCCAAUAACUCUGCAAGGUAGGCAUGUUUAUCCUCAUUUUAUAGAUCAGGAAAUGAAAGCUAGCUCAAAACUGUACAAUAACUUGGUCAAAGUCAUACCAUUCAUGAGGGGAAAGCUAGUAUUUGAAUCCAGGACUUAUAAAUGCCUACUAUCUCAAUUAGACUAGGAUAACCAAAUCAGGUAAAGAUGAACACCCAGUAGCUGUUAUCCUACUAGAAAUUUAUUCCUUCCACCGAAGUCUAGUUCCACAGCAUUCAAAGAGAGUUUAAAAGAAGAUGACGAUCAUGCGAAAAUUACACAGGAUUUGGGGUCAGAGCUAUAUGAAUUAAUAUGUUAGCACCACGACAAAUAGACUGUAACUUGGGCAAAAUUAUUUUACCUUUUCAGGUAAGUCUCUCAAAUUUGAAUAAAAAUUCCUCUCUUAUACAGUCAUUGUGGGGAUAAGAGAUAUGGUGCAAACCAUAGUAAACACAAUGGGCCAUAGAGGGCCAUUGACACAAAAACUGUGUUUCUGUACAUCCUUGCUGUAGAUAGAGGGCCAUUGACACAAAAACUGUGUUUCUGUACAUCCUUGCUGUAGAUACAAAAAUAAGGCUUGGAUACAUUCUAUGUUAAUUAAAGAGGAAACUCAAAUGUGAAUAUGUUGAAUAAAGCAUAUUAAGCAUGUACACGUCAUUGUUUGGCUAAUGAAAAUACAUAUGUUUAAAAAAAUAAUCCUAAUGAACAUAAAACUGACGAAUGUAUUUUACAUUCAUUUUUAAGAAAGUAAUAUAACUACCUUCUUGCUAAAAAAUUUCCUUUGACUAUCCUUGAGUUCAAAAUCUAUCCAUUGAAUAAACACUCACACCUGUUACGUCUAAGGCAACAUGGGCAUGUCUCAAUCCGUGUGCCAUAUUUUCACCACAAGUUUCUUUGCUGUAAACAUGUUUGUGGCAAACAUUUUGCUGAACAACUAACUGGUCAUAAGGCUGCUUUGCCAUGAAAGAUAAAACUGGUCGACAAUUUUUGGUUCAAUGGUUUGGUUUCAACUGGUUGAAAUACAUUAGCAUUUUUCACUUAGUGACAUUAUUGAUGGCUUUAUUGAGGUUAAAUAUGAGGAUGAUUUGCCCCAAGAGUUGGUUUCUUAUUUUGUUGUUGGUUGUUGUUUUCCUUUUUAAGGCCGCACCUGUGGCAUAUGGAAAUUCCCUGGCUAGGGGUUGAAUCAGAGCUGUGGCUGCCAGCCUAUGCCACCGCCACAGUCACAGCCACAGCAAGCAGGAUCCAAGGGGUAGACCUAUACUGCAGCUUGCAGCAAUGCCAAAUCCUUAACCUACUGAGCGAAGCCAGCGAUCGAACCCACAUGGUCAUGGACACUAUGUCAGGUUCUUAACCCACUUAGCCACAACAGGAACUCCUGAUUUCUUAUUUUGAAACACAUGUAAAGGCAUUCACAAUGCAAUACAAAACUCAGGUACAAGUAUACAUUCUAGUAUGUGGAAACUGAUACUUCUCUUAAUACUUCUCUCUUUGCUAAAAUUUCCUCCCUUAAUUGGAAUUUUAGCAAAAAAGAAAAAGUGUAAUGCCAAGCCAGGACAUGAAUCAACAACCAAAAAAAAAAAAAAUUGCAUAUGUAUGAAAUACAAUGAGCAAAAUACUUGCAAGACAAGUGCUUAGGUAAAACCCAAAAAUUAAAUCAGUUAUUUAUGCAGUAUUGCCAAGAAUCUACACGCGUUUUCAGUGUAUUCAAAUAUUUCGCAGUCUUUUUAAUUUUGUUAUUUAUAACUCAUGUUUCAUUAUGUCCUUUGUAAUGUCCCUCUUUUAUUGUUUGUUACCUAUCUUUUAUGAAAAAUUGCCUUAGCUAAUGAGUUAUACAGUGAAAAUGAUUGCACCAAAGAUGCUGAUGGCAAAAGUACUUAGAACAUUGCUUAGAAAUGUUGCCAUCAAGGGGAACAUGUAACAAUUGGAAACACUGCUUCCUUACUAUUAAAAGUCUAGCAAAAUCAUCUACCUCCCAGAGAUCUACAAUGUUGGGUCAAAAAAUCUGAAAUGAAGUGAAGACUAUGUUGAUUCUGUACACUGUGCUAUGAAUAGAUUAAUCACUACAUCCCUUCUGUGGGUAAGCUAUAGCAGAGCAUUACCUCCACAUUUUCUUUGAGAUUCCAAAACUGUGGAACUACUGUUUGGGGAAAAUGUUGGCAGACCUUUAUCAGACCUUCCAGGAUACAUGCCCACCUGUACCACACAUCACAUCACCUCACUGUAUCUCCUACUACUCUCCUCUGCACUCAGCUCUAGUUAGUUAUACUGGUGUCCAAGUCAUUCCUUGAACACACCAGGCACUGUCUGGCCUCAUCACUUUCUUAUUGGAAUAUUCCCCCCCUUAUAUCUGAAUGUUUCUCUCCCUAAUCCCCUUCUAGACUUUACUCAAAGGUCACUUUCUCAAUGAAUUAUGCUUGAACCACCCAAUUUAAAACAUUAGCUUGCAUGUUGCCAGACACUACAA
This 4790-nucleotide long non-coding RNA is filed under the name Sus scrofa (pig). RNAcentral's name for it is "lncRNA (ENSSSCG00025047038.1)". Lineage: Eukaryota; Metazoa; Chordata; Mammalia; Artiodactyla; Suidae. The record is from RNAcentral.